GUGCAGCAGGCGAGAAAACUUCACACUGUGCGAAAGCACGAUGAGGGAAUCCCAAGUGCUUGCACGUAAGUGUAAGCUGUUUCUCUGUCUAAAACGCAGAGAGAGUAAGGGCUGGGUAAGACGGGUGCCAGCCGCCGCGGUAAUACCUGCAGCUCAAGUGGUGACCGUUAUUAUUGGGCCUAAAACGUCCGUAGCCGGUUUAAUAAAUGCCUGGGUAAAUUGUGUAGCUUAACUAUACGAAUUCCGGGUAGACUGUUAAACUUGAGACCGGGAGAAGUUAGAGGUACUCCUGGGGUAGAGGUGAAAUUCUGUAAUCCUAGGGGGACCACCAGUGGCGAAGGCGUCUAACUGGAACGGGUCUGACGGUGAGGGACGAAGCCCUGGGGCGCAAACGGGAUUAGAUAC
RNAcentral lists this ribosomal RNA (405 nucleotides) under uncultured microorganism. Its description in RNAcentral is "bacterial SSU rRNA". It matches the Rfam family "Archaeal small subunit ribosomal RNA", at positions 330 to 736 of the family's 1478-position model. The record is from RNAcentral.